RNAcentral lists this ribosomal RNA (483 nucleotides) under Pseudoalteromonas sp. H105. Its description in RNAcentral is "bacterial SSU rRNA". It matches the Rfam family "Bacterial small subunit ribosomal RNA", at positions 1 to 478 of the family's 1533-position model. The record is from RNAcentral. Lineage: Bacteria; Pseudomonadati; Pseudomonadota; Gammaproteobacteria; Alteromonadales; Pseudoalteromonadaceae.
UUAAUUGAAGAGUUUGAUCAUGGCUCAGAUUGAACGCUGGCGGCAGGCCUAACACAUGCAAGUCGAGCGGUAACAGAAAGUAGCUUGCUACUUUGCUGACGAGCGGCGGACGGGUGAGUAAUGCUUGGGAACAUGCCUUUAGGUGGGGGACAACAGUUGGAAACGACUGCUAAUACCGCAUAACGUCUACGGACCAAAGGGGGCUUCGGCUCUCGCCUAAAGAUUGGCCCAAGUGGGAUUAGCUAGUUGGUGAGGUAAUGGCUCACCAAGGCAACGAUCCCUAGCUGGUUUGAGAGGAUGAUCAGCCACACUGGAACUGAGACACGGUCCAGACUCCUACGGGAGGCAGCAGUGGGGAAUAUUGCACAAUGGGCGAAAGCCUGAUGCAGCCAUGCCGCGUGUGUGAAGAAGGCCUUCGGGUUGUAAAGCACUUUCAGUCAGGAGGAAAGGUUAGUAGUUAAUACCUGCUAGCUGUGACGUUAC